CGACAAAUAAGAAUGGUAUUAAGUUGGUAGAAUGGAACUCCUUCCUGAUUCCUGCACAUGUAAGUUACCAGAUACUCUUGAGGGACCAAUUUAAGGGCAAACAGACAAACGUUUUGAUGCAAAGAAAGCAUUGGAUUUGAAAGUUCCCAUGGAGAAGAAAAAUGGAGAGAUUCUAAAAGUAUGAAGAU
Mya arenaria is the source of this 188-nucleotide long non-coding RNA. RefSeq lists it as uncharacterized. The transcript is spliced from 3 exons. The record is from RefSeq and is a predicted model, not a curated record. NCBI's taxonomy places the organism in Eukaryota, Metazoa, Mollusca, Bivalvia, Myida, Myidae.